Long non-coding RNA from Sarcophilus harrisii (Tasmanian devil), 287 nucleotides. RefSeq lists it as uncharacterized. The transcript has 4 exons. The record is from RefSeq and is a predicted model, not a curated record. Lineage: Eukaryota; Metazoa; Chordata; Mammalia; Dasyuromorphia; Dasyuridae.
AACAAUUCUCCAUAAAUGUCUUGUAGUGAUUUGGAAGAUGGAACUGGAACAAGAAAAACACAAAACCACAGAAUGGAUCAUGACUAUAGACCACAGGAUUCAACAUGGGAAUGACCAUGGUAUAGAAGACUGAAGCCAUUUUGUCUGUGUCCAUGGAAUGUUUGGAGCUGGGUUAAAUCUAUAGAUUUCUACUCAUAAAGUCAUAGAACACUGAGAUUACGGCAUCUGACAAAGUGUUUAAAAAAUGAUGGCAUCUAGAGAGAGGAAAUUUCCCCUAAGAACUACUU